UGUGUGUGUGUGUGUGUGUAUGUAUACACAUGUAUGUAUAUUUGUAUAUAUGUGUGUGCAUGUAUAUGUACACACACAUA
Podarcis lilfordi (Lilford's wall lizard) is the source of this 80-nucleotide non-coding RNA. The record is from the annotation of a GenBank genome assembly. Lineage: Eukaryota; Metazoa; Chordata; Lepidosauria; Squamata; Lacertidae.